CAGCUGUCUCGUCAUCUGAAGAACUAUCACUUCAUAGAUCAGAAAAUAAGCUGCCUACUUACCUUGAACAUCUGGCGAAUUUGAAUCUGAGAGGAGUACCAGGGAGAGUCCUGCCAUGCAAGUGCCUGCUCCUACAAAUUGCCAAAAAGAAUAUCUUGUGCCUAGUGCAAACCUGGUGAGGAGCAUGACCCAGGGAAUAGUCCAACAGUCCAACAAGUUUAUGCUGGUGAUGUAUGAAUACUGGUAUGCCCUGAUAGCUGCAACACAAGUUCACAAUGAUUUGCAGCCAUAAUUUUCUUGUUUCACAUGAAGCUAUUGCCUACUGCCAAUCGGCAAUUCAAAGUUCAAACUGUUUCCUUUUCCAAUCUACUCACAAAGAAAGUUUCCCUGAACAUCGAUGAAGACAAGGGCUAGGUACCAAUACCAUGGUAUCUGCAAUACGUGUGAAAAGAUCAGAGAAUCGUUCCGUAGACCAGAGCUAACAACAUGUAUACGAGGAAUGAUUGUGCCAGUGGUGCGUCAACUCCUGAAAGUGAUGCCUGCAUUUAUCUCUAUUGAUAGAAGAAGCCUGCAUUUUAUCAAAUAACUAUGCAUACACUCGAUACAAAAAGAUGUUUGCAAUUUACCGAGAUUGCUGAUGACAGAGGUGGUAAAGCUGCUGAUGGCCAAGGAGAAGGAGACUAUCUGACCGAGGAAGAGCGAGAACAACAACCUCCAUGUAUCCCUCUUGACCUCCAUGAGCCUGAGCGCGAUCCAGGAAAGCCUCA
Molecule: long non-coding RNA, 767 nt
Organism: Panicum virgatum (switchgrass)
Lineage: Eukaryota; Viridiplantae; Streptophyta; Magnoliopsida; Poales; Poaceae
Exons: 3
Source: RefSeq, a predicted model, not a curated record